GUUGUAGUUAAACAAGAUGGACUAUUGGUCAGCAUUGCUACUUUUAACUGUCUGCUGGACAGGUGCUGAUGGUCAGACUCUGACACAAUCUGA
Molecule: long non-coding RNA, 93 nt
Organism: Oreochromis niloticus (Nile tilapia)
Lineage: Eukaryota; Metazoa; Chordata; Actinopteri; Cichliformes; Cichlidae
Exons: 3
Source: RefSeq, a predicted model, not a curated record